GAUGAAGAACGUAGCGAAAUGCGAUAAGUAGUGUGAAUUGCAGAAUUCAGUGAAUCAUCGAGUCUUUGAACGCACAUUGCGCCCCCUGGUAUUCCGGGGGGCAUGCCUGUCCGAGCGUCAUUGCUGCCCUCAAGCACGGCUUGUGUGUUGGGCUCCGCCCCCCUCCCGGGGGGCGGGCCCGAAAGGCAGCGGCGGCACCGCGUCCGGUCCUCGAGCGUAUGGGGCUUUGUCACCCGCUCUGUAGGCCCGGCCGGCGCCCGCCGGCGACCCCAAUCAAUCUUUCCAGGUUGACCUCGGAUCAGGUAGGGAUACCCGCUGAACUUAAGCAUAUCAAUAAGCGGAGGA
Molecule: unclassified non-coding RNA, 345 nt
Filed under: soil metagenome
Description: partial contains 5.8S ribosomal RNA, internal transcribed spacer 2, and large subunit ribosomal RNA
Rfam family: 5.8S ribosomal RNA (bases 1-120)
Source: RNAcentral